RNAcentral lists this ribosomal RNA (450 nucleotides) under uncultured bacterium. RNAcentral's name for it is "partial 16S ribosomal RNA". It matches the Rfam family "Bacterial small subunit ribosomal RNA", at positions 354 to 796 of the family's 1533-position model. The record is from RNAcentral.
GUGGGGAAUCUUCCGCAAUGGACGAAAGUCUGACGGAGCAACGCCGCGUGAGUGAAGAAGGUUUUCGGAUCGUAAAGCUCUUUCGUUAGGGACGAACGUGCUCUUUGUGAAUAAUGAGGAGUAAUGACGGUACCUAAAUAAGAAGCCACGGCUAACUACGUGCCAGCAGCCGCGGUAAUACGUAGGUGGCAAGCGUUGUCCGGAAUUAUUGGGCGUAAAGCGCGCGCAGGCGGGAUAUCAAGUCUGUCUUAAAAGUGCGAGGCUCAACCUCGUGAGGGGACAGAAACUGGUAUUCUUGAGUGUCGGAGAGGAAAGUGGAAUUCCAAGUGUAGCGGUGAAAUGCGUAGAGAUUUGGAAGAACACCAGUGGCGAAGGCGACUUACUGGGCCGUAACUGACGCUGAGGCGCGAAAGCGUGGGGAGCGAACAGGAUUAGAAACCCCAGUAGUCC